UCUCAUUUCUUUCGGAAAGCGGAAACCAGACGACCCAGCGGCCACGGGACGAGCCGCCCCAACUCAACCCCAGCAGGACGCUGGAGGGGCCUCCCUUGCCCACCUCUCUUCGCUGGCACUGGCCUCCCGCACCCGGGUCUGCAGUCCCCCCUCCAUCUCGCAGGUGUGCAGCCGCUAGGCCUGGGGGAUCCGAAUGACUGGGGCUGGAUAGGAAUGCCUUCGUGUUUCCCAAGACCCAGGGGCCUGCUCCACAAAGUUUGAAGGGUGGGUACACGCCGACCCAGGCAAGUUGCUCCCCCAAACCCAUGACUGACUAAUCUGAUAUGACAAAAGCCCAUGAUGGAUUUGGUAUAUGUUAAUUCACAAUGCCCUUUCCUCCAGAAUUUAACUAUAAGUUAAUACACACCGGAAACCACGCGCAUACACGCUCCUUAAUGGGCUUAGGUAUUAGCGAAUCCUAACGAUGCAUACAAAUGUGUUCUGCGCUCUGUAGACCCCUCAAGAUUUAUGGGCCUUGAGCUCUCUGAAGCUGUAAACAAGGAGAAAAAAAAAGAGAAAGCGAAAGCGACUGGGGGGAAGAGACAGAGGCCUGACUCACCCCUCCAGGUUUUGGAGAGAAGGGAUUCUUUAUGUAUUUUCCUUUCCUUGCAAGCUCGGUGCGUGUGGGUUUUGGCGUUGGUCUGGGGGUGGUGUUCUGCCUGAAUGCUGGUGUGCGUGGGCAGUGUGUUGUUUGCAUGCUGGGGUAGGAUGCCUGCCUCUUCGGAUUGCUGUGCAGGGGCCUGAACACAGCAGGCAUUUGUGACCAUAUAUGCGUGAGUGUGCACUGUGUUAGGGUGUGUGUGUGUGUAUGUGUGUGUGUGUGUGAGAGAGAGAGAGACAGACAGGGAGAGGCAGGCUUCCCCCUGGGCCAGGCUGCUGUCCCUUGAACGGUGGUGAACAAAUCUCUAACGACAAUCUUAAUAACAAUAAAUAAUGAAUAAUAAUAAUAAAACAGUAGUUAACAGUCCCUGCAUAACAGAAUAACAAUAAAAUGCAAGAGGAAAUAUUUUGAGGUGGAGACAGGAGUCAGGAUCACAGCAUCUGAGGGGGAGAUAGGAAAGGAAGGGAGGAAGACAGCUUCUUAAUAUGCUCUUGGUGGGGCUGCGGUUGGGAACCCCUUUCCCAGACAAGGGACGUAAGAGGAGAAGGAGAGCCAGGAGGCCACUCUUUAUUGCUUUUUUUCUCAGGCUUCUGCUUUGUGUGAUCAGGGAAGGGAUCCCACAUAUGGGAAUGGUUAAUGGAUUUUGGGACUCUCUAGGAGCCCCUGUUUUAAGAAGGAGGCCAAAUGUGCAGGCCCAGGCCAAGCAGCAGAGAUGAAUGAGGUGAUGACCACAGCCUUGAUCCGGCAGGAGCUCAGAGAUGUCCGGGAAGACGGGGGGCCCGAAUGGAAGCAGAAAAACAUUUAUGGCCGCUGGGAAGUUGGGAGAGCCAGGCUGGGGCUCCGGCAGGCCCAGGGAAAGUUCCCUUUCUAGGCUCUUUAUUAAAAAAUUUAAAAGGAGGAGUUGAGGCGCCUUGAAUUUUCCUUCGCGAGUUUGGAGACCAGCCGAUUUUUCAUGAAGCAAGCAAAGACCGCGGUCCCGGAUCCUGCAACAUAUACUUCAUUUUCUCCAGGCCUCUCCACUUGCCCAAGCUCUCAGCCACCAAGAGACAGAUGGAAGGGGCUUCUGGGCUGUGUUGGGAGCGGGCAUUGUCCCCUACCCACUCCUGCACAGUUUCCCAAAGUCCAGCCACCUCCGACUCUCCUUGGGGGAAAAAAUACCAGUACCCAGACACCUCUGCACCCUGUUAUAUGACUGGGCUUGCUUCAGGAAUAUCUUACAAAGAAGAAGAAGGAGGAGGAGGAACGGCUUGGAGUCAUGUUUACAUCUAGUUCUACUGAUCCGUUCACAUCUGGAGAGAUUAUUUAUAACUCCCUCUAUAACUCUCUGUUUGGAGGCACUGGUGGCUCUAAUGACAGACUGAUGUCUAGGAAAUAUUGCUCUAUGUCUAAUGGUACCUAAAUGUGCUGUGGUUGUAUUUACAGAUUUACGUUUGCGGGAAAUAUAAUUAUUUCCAUUGUAUUUGUGCAUAUACAGUAGUUAUAGGAGCAGAUUUAUAUAUGGGAAAAUAUGCGACUCCCUUACAGCCAUCCGGCUUUAUGUACAUUUGAUAUCCUGACAGAUUUAUAUCUCUGAACAGCUAUAUAGAUAAAAACGUAUAUUGUUAGAAUUAUGUAUCAGGAGAUAUAUACUUAUUGAUUGCGAAAUAGAGUAGUUAGAGCAUUCACUUAGAGCCAUAUAUGGCUAUGGAGAUAUUUCUAUAUUAUUAUCACUAUAUAUAGGCAUAUCUAUUUAUAACUGCAUAGUUAUAAAAAUAGACAUAAGUAAUUAUAGUCCUAUAGGUGCAUGCUGCAAUCUCUCUCUAGAGUUAUAGACACUUUCAAAUAUAACUCUAUAGAGAGAUCUGUAUGUAUAUAAGGUGUAAUUAUCCAGUGAUGUGUUUACGUUGGGACUUAGGCCCAUCUGUCUAGAACAGACACAUUUAUAUGUAGGGGCUGGGAGAGACUUAUUCACAGAUAUCUGCAGAGGGCCAACUGGAAACACUGUAUCUGCCCUCUAGGAAACCAGCUAGGAGAGUUGUGUACUUAUGGAGGGAUGGAGUUACAAAAGGGUAAAUAGAGCUCAGGGAGACUUAAGGAGGGGAGGUGAAUGGAGGGUGGGUGGGCUCGGUUUGAACAGAUAGUGGGAGGAAAGGGGUAAACACCAGCACCCACCAGAAGGCGAGAACCAGUUUUGUGAGGGGCUGGUGCAGAUGACUGUGGACAAGGAGCUUGUAAAAUGAGAAGCGGCUAACAGUCCUGCCACCUCACCCUGAGACACUCUCCACCGAGGAAGCAGCCUUCAGUUUGGCUUUUAGUGCACUGUAGGAUAGGGACUGUCAUGUCACUCCUGUAGUCCUAGAGCGUUUCUCUUGAACCCUAAUUUUUAGGUCUCAAAGAGUGGGCUUCAGAGAUAAAGAGGUUUAGUCAGGGACAGGGCGAGGAGCGUGGGGUGUACUUUUGCUUUCCAAUAAGUAAGGUAAUCCAGGAAAGUGAGUUAAUUUGGCCAAAUAAAGCUUGUUUUUAUGUGGGCCUCCUGUGCCCUGGUGCGGAUGUAGGAUGGGACCAGAAUCUGGUGGACUGAGGAGUGAAUUUCCAAGUAUUGGGCCUGCUCUGAUGGGGGCUUAGGGAGGUUGUCCUCACCACCCGCCCUCCUUCUCUGAGGCCUGAGUGGCCUAAUUCCCUCUGGGUACAGAGGGACUCCUUCAGCUCCCUAACAGUGCUGCCCUGGGUCUUUUCAGGGAGAAUUUGACUUUAGGAACAGGGAACAUGGACUUACCCCACUAGAUCUCACUUCUCCUACUCACAGCUAUACCACUCGUACGUCAGCCUCCUUCCAGGCGCCACUCGGCCAGGGGUCCACAGUUCUUCCCCUGCUACCAACCAGCCCAGUGGGGAAAUACCUCCCACGACUGACAGUUUUUGUGUUUGUGUGUGUGUGUGUGUUUUUUUUUUAACCAGGAAGUUACAGAUAACUUCGUUAACUGCGUGAAGGAAUUGUCCUGAACUCAGUCUCUGUGGCCAACCUAGCCUCCAGGAUCUCUAGGAUGCUAGGAAGGGAGUGGAGACCCUUGGACCAGGCUAACCACCAUGUGCCAUCCUCCACACACCCCUGCCCACAGGACUAGGAAUUCCUGCAGUGCAGGGACUCUGUCUGCUGCCUGGCACAGAAUGGUUGCCCAAACAUACUUGUUGAGGUAAACGGAAUGGCAGUCAAUACAAAAACUCACCCUCACUCUGCACACCACCAUAGCCACUGCUGGCUAGCAGGCACCCUAGCCAGGCUAGGAGAUAACAUGGCGGCUGGCAGCAGCCUGGGCUUUGACCGGACCAGUGGUUAGUAGCGUGGGAGAGCAUCUUGAGCCUAGGAUGGGGCGGGGACUGGAGCAAGGCACCUGGAAUCCAGAAAUUUGGGGGUAAGCCAAGGCAGACCCACCGCCCCAGUGCACUUCUGCUUUCUAUCUCCAGUCUCAUGGCUCCCUGGACCCCCAAAAGUUAUGAAAACUAAACCAGAACUGAGAACUGGGCUAGGAUGGAAUUGCCUGUGAACCCGAGGGGUGCAAAGAGGAACCACCAUUGGGUCCAUUAAGAAAUCCACAAAUAAAACAAAAAUAAAUCAGUGUGACACAGACAACCUGGCUGAAGGAAAGGUUUCUCUCUAUGCUUCAGCCCUGCUCCAGGGCUACCAAACAGAUCAGGCUUAAUAUUUAAAAUGUUUAAUAGUUAAAUUUUUUUAACAAUUUAACUUUAAAAAGGUCACACAUUUUCUGAUCCAGCAAUGCCCCAAUCAGAUUGUUUCAUUUUAUUAUUAUUAUCAACACUGUCCCCUUUUUGGCACCUGUAAAAUAGUUCCUUUCGGGAGUUUGGAGCCAGGCCAGGCACCGUCGGUGCAUGGGAUGAGAUGGGCAGGUUUGGAGCUCCUCUGUCUAGUGAGGAUCACGGUCUGCAGAGAAGGGUUGGCCUCCCCGUCUCCCAUCAAGGCUUAAAGCAAGGAGAACCAUCCCGAAUUUGGUUCCUUUUCCACUAAGUAUCCUUAGAGGCGAUCCACCCUGUGACUAGGUGACUAGGUGAAGGACUGAGGUCCAGAAAGGAGCUAUCUUAAACCUGGAAUCCCAUUUCCUAGUCUGCAGCCUUAAGCAGUUUCCCUCUCAGACAACUAGCCCUCUCCUUCCUCCGCAUGAAAACCCAUGGCUUACAGGGAUGGUUGUUGCUUUCCCUAAAGAAAUUCAGGAAGGGAGAUGUGAGGGUCAGUUCUCAGCGGUGGCGUUCUUUGAAGGGGACGCAGCCUGACUGCCAGGAAGGGAGAACGAGUCGGCCCAGCCAAUGCUCAUGCGCGAAGCACAAGCGGUUUCUCCCCUCACAGUGGUUCCCACGGUUGUCUUAGAAACCAGUCCCCGAGGCUUGGCAAAGGGGGAGACUUCCGUGGCAGUGCUUGGGUGUCAAGGCUCUGAGGCUCUGGCCUGACGACUCCACUGGGUCGAGGGGAAAGUCUCUGGAUGCCAAGAGUCACAAAGGGCCAAACAGGGUGAGGAAACCCGACGCAGAGUCCGGAGAAGGCAGCAUGGAAUCCCUCCCUCAGGCCUCUCUGGACGGUGUUGGUGGGGGUGAGUCUCCCCAAAAGUCGUGACACGGUGAUCUCGAGGACAGGACGGCCUGCGUGCCCCUGGGGUGCUCUCUCACCGAAGGGUCGUUCUCGUCGAAAGCAGAACCCCACAGCCUCAGGGGUUGCCUGGCCUCUUUUCUAGGAUCAAGAUGAACACACUGCAGACGAGGACACGAGCCCCACAGGAGCUCUUUGUCCCGCAGGAGACCAGCGG
This is a long non-coding RNA of Homo sapiens (human), 5433 nucleotides long. RefSeq lists it as uncharacterized. NCBI's taxonomy places the organism in Eukaryota, Metazoa, Chordata, Mammalia, Primates, Hominidae. The transcript has 3 exons. The record is from RefSeq and is a predicted model, not a curated record.